RNAcentral lists this ribosomal RNA (383 nucleotides) under Clavispora lusitaniae. Its description in RNAcentral is "eukaryotic LSU rRNA". It matches the Rfam family "Eukaryotic large subunit ribosomal RNA", at positions 86 to 496 of the family's 3401-position model. The record is from RNAcentral. Lineage: Eukaryota; Fungi; Ascomycota; Pichiomycetes; Serinales; Metschnikowiaceae.
ACGGCGAGUGAAGCGGCAAAAGCUCAAAUUUGAAAUCCUGCGGGAAUUGUAAUUUCGAAGGUUUCGUGGUCUGAGUCGGCCGCGCCCAAGUCCAUUGGAACAUGGCGCCUGGGAGGGUGAGAGCCCCGUCCGGCGCACGCCGACUCUUUGCACCGCGGCUCCGACGAGUCGAGUUGUUUGGGAAUGCAGCUCUAAGUGGGUGGUAAAUUCCAUCUAAAGCUAAAUAUUGGCGAGAGACCGAUAGCGAACAAGUACAGUGAUGGAAAGAUGAAAAGCACUUUGAAAAGAGAGUGAAACAGCACGUGAAAUUGUUGAAAGGGAAGGGCUUGCAAGCAGACACGGUUUUACCGGGCCAGCGUCAAAUAAACGGGGGGGAAAAGGGG